This 247-nucleotide ribosomal RNA is filed under the name uncultured bacterium. Its description in RNAcentral is "partial 16S ribosomal RNA". It matches the Rfam family "Bacterial small subunit ribosomal RNA", at positions 57 to 305 of the family's 1533-position model. The record is from RNAcentral.
GCAAGUCGAGGGGUAAGGCUCUUUCGGGAGUACACGACCGGCGCACGGGUGAGUAACGCGUAUGCAACCUACCUCUAACAGGGGGAUAGCCCGAAGAAAUUCGGAUUAAUACCGCAUAAUAUCAAGAGAUCGCAUGAUUUUUUGAUAAAAACUCCGGUGGUUAGAGAUGGGCAUGCGUGACAUUAGAUUGUUGGUGAGGUAACGGCUCACCAAGUCUACGAUGUCUAGGGGGUCUGAGAGGAUGGUC